GCCAGUGUGGCUCAGUGGUAGAGCAUUGGCCUGUGCACUCAAGGGUCAUGGGUUUGAUUCCUGGUCAAGGACA
Non-coding RNA from Myotis brandtii (Brandt's bat), 73 nucleotides. The record is from Rfam. Lineage: Eukaryota; Metazoa; Chordata; Mammalia; Chiroptera; Vespertilionidae.